UUAAGUUAUUAAGGGCGCACGGUGGAUGCCUUGGCACUAGAAGCCGAUGAAGGACGUUACUAACGACGAUAUGCUUUGGGGAGCUGUAAGUAAGCUUUGAUCCAGAGAUUUCCGAAUGGGGAAACCCAGCAUGAGUUAUGUCAUGUUAUCGAUAUGUGAAUACAUAGCAUAUCAGAAGGCACACCCGGAGAACUGAAACAUCUUAGUACCCGGAGGAAGAGAAAGAAAAUUCGAUUCCCUUAGUAGCGGCGAGCGAAACGGGAAGAGCCCAAACCAACAAGCUUGCUUGUUGGGGUUGUAGGACACUCUAUACGGAGUUACAAAGGACGACAUUAGACGAAUCAUCUGGAAAGAUGAAUCAAAGAAGGUAAUAAUCCUGUAGUCGAAAAUGUUGUCUCUCUUGAGUGGAUCCUGAGUACGACGGAGCACGUGAAAUUCCGUCGGAAUCUGGGAGGACCAUCUCCUAAGGCUAAAUACUCUCUAGUGACCGAUAGUGAACCAGUACCGUGAGGGAAAGGUGAAAAGCACCCCGGAAGGGGAGUGAAAUAGAACCUGAAACCGUGUGCUUACAAGUAGUCAGAGCCCGUUAAUGGGUGAUGGCGUGCCUUUUGUAGAAUGAACCGGCGAGUUACGAUUUGAUGCAAGGUUAAGCAGUAAAUGUGGAGCCGUAGCGAAAGCGAGUCUGAAUAGGGCGUUUAGUAUUUGGUCGUAGACCCGAAACCAGGUGAUCUACCCUUGGUCAGGUUGAAGUUCAGGUAACACUGAAUGGAGGACCGAACCGACUUACGUUGAAAAGUGAGCGGAUGAACUGAGGGUAGCGGAGAAAUUUCAAUCGAACCUGGAGAUAGCUGGUUCUCUCCGAAAUAGCUUUAGGGCUAGCCUCAAGUGAUGAUUAUUGGAGGUAGAGCACUGUUUGGACGAGGGGCCCCUCUCGGGUUACCGAAUUCAGACAAACUCCGAAUGCCAAUUAAUUUAACUUGGGAGUCAGAACAUGGGUGAUAAGGUCCGUGUUCGAAAGGGAAACAGCCCAGACCACCAGCUAAGGUCCCAAAAUAUAUGUUAAGUGGAAAAGGAUGUGGCGUUGCCCAGACAACUAGGAUGUUGGCUUAGAAGCAGCCAUCAUUUAAAGAGUGCGUAAUAGCUCACUAGUCGAGUGACACUGCGCCGAAAAUGUACCGGGGCUAAACAUAUUACCGAAGCUGUGGAUUGUCCUUUGGACAAUGGUAGGAGAGCGUUCUAAGGGCGUUGAAGCAUGAUCGUAAGGACAUGUGGAGCGCUUAGAAGUGAGAAUGCCGGUGUGAGUAGCGAAAGACGGGUGAGAAUCCCGUCCACCGAUUGACUAAGGUUUCCAGAGGAAGGCUCGUCCGCUCUGGGUUAGUCGGGUCCUAAGCUGAGGCCGACAGGCGUAGGCGAUGGAUAACAGGUUGAUAUUCCUGUACCACCUAUAAUCGUUUUAAUCGAUGGGGGGACGCAGUAGGAUAGGCGAAGCGUGCGAUUGGAUUGCACGUCUAAGCAGUAAGGCUGAGUAUUAGGCAAAUCCGGUACUCGUUAAGGCUGAGCUGUGAUGGGGAGAAGACAUUGUGUCUUCGAGUCGUUGAUUUCACACUGCCGAGAAAAGCCUCUAGAUAGAAAAUAGGUGCCCGUACCGCAAACCGACACAGGUAGUCAAGAUGAGAAUUCUAAGGUGAGCGAGCGAACUCUCGUUAAGGAACUCGGCAAAAUGACCCCGUAACUUCGGGAGAAGGGGUGCUCUUUAGGGUUAACGCCCAGAAGAGCCGCAGUGAAUAGGCCCAAGCGACUGUUUAUCAAAAACACAGGUCUCUGCUAAACCGUAAGGUGAUGUAUAGGGGCUGACGCCUGCCCGGUGCUGGAAGGUUAAGAGGAGUGGUUAGCUUCUGCGAAGCUACGAAUCGAAGCCCCAGUAAACGGCGGCCGUAACUAUAACGGUCCUAAGGUAGCGAAAUUCCUUGUCGGGUAAGUUCCGACCCGCACGAAAGGCGUAACGAUUUGGGCACUGUCUCAACGAGAGACUCGGUGAAAUCAUAGUACCUGUGAAGAUGCAGGUUACCCGCGACAGGACGGAAAGACCCCGUGGAGCUUUACUGUAGCCUGAUAUUGAAAUUCGGCACAGCUUGUACAGGAUAGGUAGGAGCCUUUGAAACGUGAGCGCUAGCUUACGUGGAGGCGCUGGUGGGAUACUACCCUAGCUGUGUUGGCUUUCUAACCCGCACCACUUAUCGUGGUGGGAGACAGUGUCAGGCGGGCAGUUUGACUGGGGCGGUCGCCUCCUAAAAGGUAACGGAGGCGCUCAAAGGUUCCCUCAGAAUGGUUGGAAAUCAUUCAUAGAGUGUAAAGGCAUAAGGGAGCUUGACUGCGAGACCUACAAGUCGAGCAGGGUCGAAAGACGGACUUAGUGAUCCGGUGGUUCCGCAUGGAAGGGCCAUCGCUCAACGGAUAAAAGCUACCCCGGGGAUAACAGGCUUAUCUCCCCCAAGAGUUCACAUCGACGGGGAGGUUUGGCACCUCGAUGUCGGCUCAUCGCAUCCUGGGGCUGUAGUCGGUCCCAAGGGUUGGGCUGUUCGCCCAUUAAAGCGGUACGCGAGCUGGGUUCAGAACGUCGUGAGACAGUUCGGUCCCUAUCCGUCGUGGGCGUAGGAAAUUUGAGAGGAGCUGUCCUUAGUACGAGAGGACCGGGAUGGACAUACCUCUGGUGUACCAGUUGUCGUGCCAACGGCAUAGCUGGGUAGCUAUGUGUGGACGGGAUAAGUGCUGAAAGCAUCUAAGCAUGAAGCCCCCCUCAAGAUGAGAUUUCCCAACUUCGGUUAUAAGAUCCCUCAAAGAUGAUGAGGUUAAUAGGUUCGAGGUGGAAGCAUGGUGACAUGUGGAGCUGACGAAUACUAAUCGAUCGAAGACUUAAUCAA
This 2921-nucleotide ribosomal RNA is filed under the name Staphylococcus aureus. RNAcentral's name for it is "23S ribosomal RNA". It matches the Rfam family "Bacterial large subunit ribosomal RNA". The record is from RNAcentral. Lineage: Bacteria; Bacillati; Bacillota; Bacilli; Caryophanales; Staphylococcaceae.